This is a regulatory RNA element of Clostridium cadaveris, 177 nucleotides long. It matches the Rfam family "Lysine riboswitch aptamer". From Rfam's summary of the family: Riboswitches are metabolite binding domains within certain messenger RNAs that serve as precision sensors for their corresponding targets. Lineage: Bacteria; Bacillati; Bacillota; Clostridia; Eubacteriales; Clostridiaceae. The record is from Rfam.
CCUUGAGGUAGAGGAGCGAUAAUCAAGAGUAGUGUUGCUGAGCAAAGCAGCUUUGAAGUUACAUGAAAGGGAUUAUUGCCGAAGCUUACAAUAAAUGCUUUAAUAUUGUACAGCUGGGAUUACGCAAAAUAUGUGUAAUACUGUCACAAAGUCAGUUUGUGGAGAGCUAUCAUCGUA